GUGUUNNAUGCUUGCAUUUAACUGAUUUAACAUUGAGACGAGUGGCGAACUGGUGAGUAACACGUGGGUAACCUGCCCUUGAAGUAGGGGAUAACACUUGGAAACAGGUGCUAAUACCGUAUAACAACCAAAACCACCUGGUUUUGGUUUAAAAGAUGGCUUCGGCUAUCACUUUAGGAUGGACCCGCGGCGUAUUAGCUUGUUGGUAAGGUAACGGCCUACCAAGGCAAUGAUACGUAGCCCGACCUGAGAGGGUAAUCGGCCACAUUGGGACUGAGACACGGCCCAAACUCCUACGGGAGGCAGCAGUAGGGAAUCUUCCACAAUGGACGAAAGUCUGAUGGAGCAACGCCGCGUGAGUGAUGAAGGGUUUCGGCUCGUAAAACUCUGUUGUUGGAGAAGAACAGGUGUGAGAGUAACUGUUCACAUCUUGACGGUAUCCAACCANAAAGCCACGGCUUACUACGUGCCAGCAGCCGCGGUAUUUCA
RNAcentral lists this ribosomal RNA (489 nucleotides) under Lentilactobacillus parabuchneri. Its description in RNAcentral is "bacterial SSU rRNA". It matches the Rfam family "Bacterial small subunit ribosomal RNA", at positions 44 to 527 of the family's 1533-position model. Lineage: Bacteria; Bacillati; Bacillota; Bacilli; Lactobacillales; Lactobacillaceae. The record is from RNAcentral.